Gasterosteus aculeatus aculeatus (three-spined stickleback) is the source of this 1497-nucleotide long non-coding RNA. The record is from Ensembl. NCBI's taxonomy places the organism in Eukaryota, Metazoa, Chordata, Actinopteri, Perciformes, Gasterosteidae.
CAGAAAUUUGACGAACACUUUGUCCCGAAAAGGAACGUCAUCCACCAUCGCGCCUGUUUUCACAAGCGGAGCCAGAGGGCCGGUGAGACAGUGGAAGCUUUCGUGCGGAGCCUGUACGAGCUCGUGCAGCACUGCGAGUUCAGUGUGGGGAAGGACGAGCAGAUCUGGGACCGCAUGGUCAUUGGAAUUAUAGACAAAGAGGUUUCUCAAAAACUACAGCUGGAGGCGGACCUGACUUUGGAGAGAGCCAUCCAGCUUCAUCCACCGUCAUGACUGAAGAGACUUUCAGCAAGCUACGUCAAAAACCCAAACUGAACAAGUCCAGGUCAACAGUGUAUAGCCCAGGCGGGAAAGUCCAAUGCGUGGGCGCCACCUCCAGACUGUUCCUGAGACCGAACCUUCUGCGGACCAGCGAAGCGCUCAGGCUACAGCGUCCCAGCAGAACAGCGGUUCCCCACAGCCAGAUUUGACUGCGGUGCCGGAACCACCGGUAAGCUUGCCACCAGCAGGCCUUCCCUCAGGGUCUCCCCUUCCACCAUCUACUCCAGUGCGAAGAUCUUCCAGGGGCCGCAAGAUAAAGGUGCCUCUUAGAUUUCAAGACUGAUGUACAAAAGGGCAGAAUAAUCCCUUUCAGGACUGAGGGCAGUCUACCCCUGUAACGUCUUGCACCGUUCUGAGUCUAUGUACCAAGACUGUAAGGGAAGACGUGUUUUGGUUACGUGGUGUUGUAUCUACUUUGUUAUAUUGUUUGAGAAUGUUAAGAAUUAAGUAAUAUUGCAAAAUUCAGAUGUUUGGCAUCUUGUUAUUGCUAACUCCCAAAAGGGGGAGAUUUUGCGAGAUUGUGUUUUGUCCGUGUAAAGCUACCGUAGUUGGGAGUAGGCUAACCAGGAGUGGAACGGCAACGUGGCUGUUGUUGUUCCGAGUCAAACGCAUAGCUUAAUAGGUUGCUCUGGGCUGUGCAAAAUGGUAAAUGGUAACGGUAAAUGGACUGUACUUGUAUAAAGCUUUUCUAGUCUUCUGACCACUCAAAGCGCUUUAACACUACAUAACAUCAUUUACCCAUUCACACCCAUUCAUACACUGAUGACAGGAGAAUGGAGAGAUGAUGGAGAGAGAUGGAAGUAAAAUAAACAGUGGUGUGACUUAAAGCACUGCUAUGUUAAGCAAGCUGCUAGGCUAAGCUAGCUGCUAUGCUAUUUCCAUCUCAACAUCUAACGUUACCCUGCGCGGCACACGGUCUGCAGAGGAGGGGAGAUUGUCGGCACAAUCCGUGCCAGUCGUUAAAUGAAGGAGAGUUGAGAGCAAAGUGCACGAGGACUAGCAAGAGUCGCUAGUACAACAUGUUCCACCCGGUGGAAUUCUGCCUCCAAGAUGAUCUAAUGUGUGGAGUCUUGUGUUUAAAAUAACAUUAACAAUUAAACAACAGUGUCUAAAAUACACACUUUCUAAAGUGAUUACUCAUUACUUUUAAUAUGUAGUCUUUAGAAGAAAACAAAC